AAUGAUGAGCCUGAUUAAAGGACUAUCGUGAUAGGAUAAAACAUGUAGCCGAAACUACCUUCAUUA
RNAcentral lists this transfer RNA (66 nucleotides) under Jugositermes tuberculatus. RNAcentral's name for it is "tRNA-Ile". The record is from RNAcentral. Lineage: Eukaryota; Metazoa; Arthropoda; Insecta; Blattodea; Termitidae. RNAcentral also lists the same sequence under 1 other name.